RNAcentral lists this unclassified non-coding RNA (332 nucleotides) under soil metagenome. RNAcentral describes it as "partial contains 5.8S ribosomal RNA, internal transcribed spacer 2, and large subunit ribosomal RNA". The stretch from base 1 to 120 matches the Rfam family "5.8S ribosomal RNA", at positions 35 to 154 of the family's 154-position model. The record is from RNAcentral.
GAUGAAGAACGUAGCAAAAUGCGAUAAGUAAUGUGAAUUGCAGAAUUCAGUGAAUCAUCGAAUCUUUGAACGCACAUUGCGCCCGCCAGUAUUCUGGCGGGCAUGCCUGUUCGAGCGUCAUUUCAACCCUCAAGCACAGCUUGGUGUUGGGACUCGCGUUAAUUCGCGUUCCUCAAAUUGAUUGGCGGUCACGUCGAGCUUCCAUAGCGUAGUAGUAAAACCCUCGUUACAGGUAAUCGUCGCGGCCACGCCGUUAAACCCCAACUUCUGAAUGUUGACCUCGGAUCAGGUAGGAAUACCCGCUGAACUUAAGCAUAUCAAUAAGCGGAGGA